This 2941-nucleotide long non-coding RNA is filed under the name Triticum aestivum (bread wheat). RNAcentral's name for it is "long non-coding RNA (TAES_LNC010241)". The record is from RNAcentral. Lineage: Eukaryota; Viridiplantae; Streptophyta; Magnoliopsida; Poales; Poaceae.
AGCUUCGGCGCUUCGCGUUUGAGUUUUGCAACGCCGGCGGACGUCCGAGCUGCUUACUGAAUGCCAGAUGGUGGAAAUGAUUGUGCUGAUAUACGCCCGCGACAGCCCCAAACGCUAGAGCAGUUCAACUCCUUGCGGGUCCCCAAUCUCAGGUACUCCCAUUAAUCCUAUCUGAUGCUUCCUAUGAGUACCAGCCUCGCAUGCAUGCUCAGGUUGGUGCUGCUGGAUUGAAUCGGUUAACAUUGGUGCUUUUUCUUGCCAAAGUUGGAUUCAUUGAGCUACACGUCCACGCCUCAAUCACUCAGAACAAGUUGAUUGCUGGAUGGUAACUUCGUUAUAGCUAAACCAUUUUUAUUAGAUUAACUAAAUUGGAUUCCAUUAAUCUUAUUUGUAUAUGUUCCCUUGACUGCAUAAUUAGCAGUUCCGUUUUCGAAUUAAACAACUGGUCCUUUGGUUUGGCAGUGUUUAUCUCUUUUGAUGAUUCUUUUACACUACUGUUUCUGUUAGAUACUAAUUGAGUUUCAGCUUUGAUUUAUUAACAUGCAUGUCCAUUCUAAUAGACAUUCAUUUCAGGUUUGGACCUUUCUUGGUGGAUGUGUCUCCUUACUUCAUCUCUUUUACUUUCAACUUUGUCGCAACCAUAGAGGAUUCUUAAUUUGAUUCUUCUGGUAUGUAUGUGGUUGCAGCACCCUGUUUGAAAUAUAAUAUAUCAUGUUCUCUGCACCGUCGCUGAUUUUCAAUAGUAACAAUUUCGUACUCCUCCAGCACCAUAUUUCAUUAGGAUAAUGUUAUUGCUUCUUGAGGUUUAUUUAUAGACAUGGGAUGUUCUCAAAGUUUAAUCUUAAUAUAGGUUCAUACGGACUCGGUCGGACAAAGCAAUUUCAUUUGAGCAGAAAUGAUACUAAAUCACCUGUCAGUUAAUCCUUUCAUGUAGGAGAACCAUUAUACUAAUCAGAAGAUGCAUGCGUUCUGGCAUCCACUAAGGGUGACCCCUUUUUUAGUUUUGUCACAUAAUGUUAGUUACUCACCUUAGAGAACCCCCUUUUUUAUCUUCUAUAAGGUUGCCUGCUACUGCUAGCGUAUGCAAGUAAAAGCAGCUAUUUGCACCAUCAUUCAUUGCUUCAAACUUCUGUUGAUCAAUUCACACCCAAAAAAACGCUUACUUGACUGGCUACUAUCAAAUCAAAAUUUUAUAAAACGGACAAUCUAGCACUCAUAUGUCAUAUGACAAUUGCAAAUCUCUCACAGUCUAUCGAAGGGAAAAAGGUGUACAUGUUUUUUAGCUUUUACCUUUAUAAAUGUAUAAGUAUCAUGUACUUAUCUACUUGCUUCCUCAACGCCCCCCUUUAUUAUCCUCUCUAACCUAUUACUAUAUAGUGCAGUGUCAAAUAAUAUAGUUCACACUAUUAGAUAAUUAAGAAAAUAUCUGAGUGACCAAAGCAUUGUUCACCCAGUAGGUUGCAAUACACUCUAUGCAUACUUACGCUUUUGUAACAUUGUUGUUCUCGAAUUCUCAAUACCAGUUUGGCAUUUCAUUCUUUCAUUUAUAAGAAAAUCCUUAACGUCAACUAAGUGUCCCGCAACAACGCACGGGGUAUCAUCUAGUUCAUUCAGUUUGACUGUGCGUAAACACUAUAGUGUACAACUAUCAACUUGUUUCACUAUUCAGUUUGUCAUCCAUUCAGCUUACUUACUGGGGCAUAUUUCUUGUGAGAGUUUACUUGAUAGUACAAUAUGUCAGAAGAAACUACCAUUUCUCCGGAAUGAAUCAUUGAUUGCUCUUUAUACACUUACAACUCGGUUUCUUUCAUAUAAGUUCUGAUGCCUUUCUUUAGGUCGAGCUACUGCCCUGUUAAUUAUUGUAACAAACUUUAUCAUUUGCCAGUUUGCACUGUGUUGAGAACUGACCAAUAAGUUUUGUUUGCCAAUUAGCUUUCUGUGUGCAUGCUCUUAAUCCCCAUAUUACUAAUUUCUGAAUCAAACAUUAUUAUUUCUGUCCUCAACAAGUCGCAGCGCUAUGUUCUGUUUUUUGUUUAGUUAGCUCUGUCAAAUAUAAUCAACCUGCCUAUGUUCCAUUUUGCUAUUUGUACUUAGGUAGAAAAAGCUAAAAUCUGUACAUGUAAUGCUGAAGCUAUAUUGGUUGCUUGUUUCUUAAUUUUUUCUUCUAUAAUGAUGAUCUGAAAUGCCACGCAGGUCAUUAUUGGUGGUGCUACUGCUGUUGUUGUGGUUGUUGGAGGUGUUGCUGUUGCAUCUGGCGGAGCUGCCGUUGGGGCCCCAAAAGGUAACCUUCAUCAGCCACAACCCCACAACAAUGGCUCAAGGUUCUGUGCCCUAUCACCCCUCUUUCUAAAUUACUGAAAUGAACCAAGAUCUCAUAUAUUUAGGAACGGAGGUAGUAGUAAGGUUAAAAUAGAAAAGCAAGGGAUGUUUCUAAUUUGGUUAUGCUAGAAUAAUGCAUCAACUCGUGGCAUUCUUGGAUGUUACUCUAAGGUGUCAAAAUGAUAGUAAAACCUAGGCUCUUGCAUGGUUCUUGAAUUAAUUUUUCUAUUUUAUGGCUAACAAAUAUUGCCUAUGUUGAGACUCUAAACAUGUGGAUUUUCCUCUCAUUUAUAGGAAUUCUACCUGAAGAAAUUCGGAGAAAACUUGAAGCCCCAGUUAGCGACUUGCUUUAUAUGUUAUUGACUUGUCAUGCUAAAUUUGUUGAGAAUUUUGAUAUACUAUUGCACAUGUUACUCGAAUGCUGGUAGUUAUGUACAUAUACUCACAAUAUUAUCCGUUGUUUACUUGAAAUGCAUUCUUGGGCUGAAAGUGGCUGAAAAAGUAUAUGCUGUGUUGAUUCUGCGUUGAUUGUGUAUGUCUAUUCUACAAAAGAAGAGGCACGGUCCAAAUGGAAUUAGUACUGAAAUGUCUAUUUGACCUAAUCUAUUUGGGCUUUGAAAAG